UCAAGGAGUUAAUCCCAUAGUCCAAAUCAAGGCAUUAAUCAAAGUGUUCAAGGCCAAAGUUCUUCUUGGAAAGAAAAAUCUUUUAUGAGGAGAAAUCAAUUCGAGAUCAAUUUUGGUGGAUAUCCAUAGAAGUCGGACGCAUAUGCAGCUCGAGCAUCUGCAAAUUUGUGAUCAUCAAAAGCAGUGAACAACUAUCCACACCAUGGUAAAGAGAUCUGAUCUCAUAUUUAUAUCUAAAUUUUAAAUUAUAUAUAUAUUUUUUCUCCUGGGUUUGGUAGGAUU
RNAcentral lists this long non-coding RNA (282 nucleotides) under Elaeis guineensis (African oil palm). Its description in RNAcentral is "long non-coding RNA (EGUI_LNC069007)". Lineage: Eukaryota; Viridiplantae; Streptophyta; Magnoliopsida; Arecales; Arecaceae. The record is from RNAcentral.